CAAUAGCGUAUAUUAAAGUUGUUGCGGUUAAAAAGCUCGUAGUUGGAUUUCUGCCGAGGACGACCGGUCCGCCCUCUGGGUGUGUAUCUGGUUUGGCCUGGGCAUCUUCUUGGAGAACGUAGCUGCACUUGACUGUGUGGUGCGGUGUCCAGGACUUUUACUUUGAGGAAAUUAGAGUGUUUCAAGCAGGCACACGCCUUGAAUACAUUAGCAUGGAAUAAUAAGAUAGGACCUCGGUUCUAUUUUGUUGGUUUCUAGAGCUGAGGUAAUGAUUAAUAGGGAUAGUUGGGGGCAUUCGUAUUUAACUGUCAGAGGUGAAGUUCUUGGAUUUGUUAAAGACGGACUACUGCGAAAGCAUUUGCCAAGGAUGUUUNCAUUGA
This 380-nucleotide ribosomal RNA is filed under the name uncultured eukaryote. RNAcentral's name for it is "partial 18S ribosomal RNA". It matches the Rfam family "Eukaryotic small subunit ribosomal RNA", at positions 592 to 976 of the family's 1831-position model. The record is from RNAcentral.